UUAUCCUCUCACACGAACACGAGCACCAUACCAGCAGCAGCCGCACUCGAGUACCUUCUAGGUUCUCCGCCGCCGGCUGCGCGACGGGCCGUCGCCCGCGCCUCCCACCGCAGCACGCCGCAAUGGAGGCCGAGCGCCCAUGGCGUCACCCGAGGACACCUUCCAGCCGCCGUUCUCCUUUAAAUUCAUCGGGAUCCGGCCUGAUCCGGACGGAUCCGGAUGCCGGCGGCCCAUUCCCGACCUCCCUGCCUCGCCUGGUUCGUCGGCCACUCCGAUGUCGUCAUCUUCGUCACGGGAUCCAGCGCUACCGAUGGCUAGCCUCCUCCUCGCCUGGAUGUGACCCCCCCACGUUGGCGCCUCCAACACGAGCAGCAACAGCGAACGCCUCGACAAGGGCAUCUCUGGCGUCGUCUUUAUUUUAAUUUUAUUUUAAAGAAGUUUGCCAGAUCAGUGGCCAGAGAAAAGCCAUGGCAAUGAAGUCUGAUUGAUGUCUCGCGAGCGCUCGGCGGUGCUUGAUGUGGUGGAUGCAGAAUAGUAUAGCUCAGAGUAGUAGGCUAGAUCUGAAAAAAAAUUAUCUGUACUUACAUUUUUUGCUGUGUAUUUCUUCAUUUUUUUAUAAAGAAGUUAUGUAUAUUGUAUA
Long non-coding RNA from Triticum dicoccoides, 640 nucleotides. RefSeq lists it as uncharacterized. The record is from RefSeq and is a predicted model, not a curated record. Lineage: Eukaryota; Viridiplantae; Streptophyta; Magnoliopsida; Poales; Poaceae. The transcript is spliced from 2 exons.